AGCCUGAUGCAGCCAUGCCGCGUGUGUGAAGAAGGCCUUCGGGUUGUAAAGCACUUUCAGUUGUGAGGAAAGGUUAGUAGUUAAUACCUGCUAGCUGUGACGUUAGCAACAGAAGAAGCACCGGCUAACUCCGUGCCAGCAGCCGCGGUAAUACGGAGGGUGCGAGCGUUAAUCGGAAUUACUGGGCGUAAAGCGUACGCAGGCGGUUUGUUAAGCGAGAUGUGAAAGCCCCGGGCUCAACCUGGGAACUGCAUUUCGAACUGGCAAACUAGAGUGUGAUAGAGGGUGGUAGAAUUUCAGGUGUAGCGGUGAAAUGCGUAGAGAUCUGAAGGAAUACCGAUGGCGAAGGCAGCCACCUGGGUCAACACUGACGCUCAUGUACGAAAGCGUGGGGAGCAAACGGGAUUAGAUACCCCGGUAGUCCACGCCGUAAACGAUGUCUACUAGGAGUUCGGUUUUUCGGAACUGUCUUCCAAAGCUAACGCAUUAAGUAGACCGCCUGGGGAGUACGGCCGCAAGGUUAAAACUCA
Molecule: ribosomal RNA, 530 nt
Filed under: Pseudoalteromonas sp.
Lineage: Bacteria; Pseudomonadati; Pseudomonadota; Gammaproteobacteria; Alteromonadales; Pseudoalteromonadaceae
Description: bacterial SSU rRNA
Rfam family: Bacterial small subunit ribosomal RNA
Source: RNAcentral